This is a non-coding RNA of Camelina sativa (false flax), 206 nucleotides long. NCBI's taxonomy places the organism in Eukaryota, Viridiplantae, Streptophyta, Magnoliopsida, Brassicales, Brassicaceae. The record is from RefSeq and is a predicted model, not a curated record.
UCUAGAUUAUGUUCAACCUUUUGAAAGACUUUUUGAAAUGCAGAUUCGUGAAGCAUAUCCUAAUUUAGAAGAAUCUGACUAUGAGGCUUACAAAGAGCGGGAUUUCGCUAAUUGGUUAAAAUACUAUGUUCAGAAUGGAUGUGGAAAUGAACCCUUGCCUCUUUGGUUGCAUGAGCUCGUUCAAGAACCAAGAGCGAAGAUCACUA